RNAcentral lists this ribosomal RNA (274 nucleotides) under uncultured bacterium. RNAcentral describes it as "partial 16S ribosomal RNA". It matches the Rfam family "Archaeal small subunit ribosomal RNA", at positions 473 to 747 of the family's 1478-position model. The record is from RNAcentral.
AAACCAGCACCUCAAGUGGUCAGGAUGAUUAUUGGGCCUAAAGCAUCCGUAGCCUGCUCUGUAAGUUUUCGGUUAAAUCUGUACGCUCAACGUACAGGCUGCCGGGAAUACUGCAAAGCUAGGGAGUGGGAGAGGUAGACGGUACUCGGGAGGAAGUGGUAAAAUGCUUUGAUCUCUCGAUGACCACCUGUGGCGAAGGCGGUCUACCAGAACACGUCCGACGGUGAGGGAUGAAAGCUGGGGGAGCAAACCGGAUUAGAAACCCUGGUAGUCC